GUCCACGCUGUAAACUAUGAGUGCUAGAUGUCGGGGGGGUUACCUCUCGGUGUCGGAGCUAACGCGUUAAGCACUCCGCCUGGGGAGUACGGCCGCAAGGCUAAAACUCAAAGGAAUUGACGGGGGCCCGCACAAGCGGUGGAGCAUGUGGUUCAAUUCGAAGCAACGCGCAGAACCUUACCAGCCCUUGACAUGGGACGUGAGAGCCGCGGAGACGCGGUUCGUCAUUUUAGUUGGCGUCCACACAGGUGCUGCAUGGCUGUCGU
RNAcentral lists this ribosomal RNA (266 nucleotides) under uncultured bacterium. RNAcentral describes it as "partial 16S ribosomal RNA". It matches the Rfam family "Bacterial small subunit ribosomal RNA", at positions 793 to 1055 of the family's 1533-position model. The record is from RNAcentral.